CCUACGGGAGGCAGCAGUGAGGAAUAUUGGUCAAUGGCCGGAAGGCUGAACCAGCCAAGCCGCGUGAAGGACGAAGGUGCCAAGCAUUGUAAACUUCUUUUGUCAAGGGACAAAAUCAGGCUCGAGAGCAUGAACGAGGGUACUUGAAGAAACAGAAUCGGCUAACUCCGUGCCAGCAGCCGCGGUAAUACGGAGGAUGCGAGCGUUAUCCGGAUUUAUGGGGUUUCAAGGGUGCGUAGUCGGGCUGUUAAGUCAGCGGUAAAAGCCCGGGGCUCAACCCCGGCGAGCCGUGGAAACUGGCUGUCUUGAGAUGUCGAGAGGUAUGCGGAAUGCGCAGGUUAGCGGUGAAAUGCUUAGAUAUUGCGCAGAACUCCGAUUGCGAAGGCAGCAUACCGGCGGCGAUCUGACGCUGAGGCACGAAAGCGUGGGUAUCGAACAGGAUUAGAUACCCGAGUAGUC
Molecule: ribosomal RNA, 459 nt
Filed under: uncultured bacterium
Lineage: Bacteria
Description: partial 16S ribosomal RNA
Rfam family: Bacterial small subunit ribosomal RNA
Source: RNAcentral